Molecule: ribosomal RNA, 561 nt
Filed under: uncultured bacterium
Lineage: Bacteria
Description: bacterial SSU rRNA
Rfam family: Bacterial small subunit ribosomal RNA
Source: RNAcentral
CCUACGGGAGGCAGCAGUGGGGAAUAUUGGACAAUGGGCGAAAGCCUGAUCCAGCAAUGCCGCGUGAGUGAUGAAGGCCUUAGGGUCGUAAAGCUCUUUUACCCGGGAUGAUAAUGACAGUACCGGGAGAAUAAGCUCCGGCUAACUCCGUGCCAGCAGCCGCGGUAAUACGGAGGGAGCUAGCGUUGUUCGGAAUUACUGGGCGUAAAGCGUACGUAGGCGGUUAUUCAAGUCAGAGGUGAAAGCCCGGGGCUCAACCCCGGAACUGCCUUUGAAACUAGAUAGCUAGAAUCUUGGAGAGGUCAGUGGAAUUCCGAGUGUAGAGGUGAAAUUCGUAGAUAUUCGGAAGAACACCAGUGGCGAAGGCGACUGACUGGACAAGCAUUGACGCUGAGGUACGAAAGCGUGGGGAGCAAACAGGAUUAGAUACCCUGGUAGUCCACGCCGUAAACGAUGAUAACUAGCUGUCCGGGUACUUGGUAUCUGGGUGGCGCAGCUAACGCAUUAAGUUAUCCGCCUGGGGAGUACGGUCGCAAGAUUAAAACUUAAAGGAAUUGACGG